GAUGAAGAACGUAGCGAAAUGCGAUACUUGGUGUGAAUUGCAGAAUCCCGUGAAUCAUCGAGUCUUUGAACGCACAUUGCGCCCCCUGGUAUUCCGGGGGGCAUGCCUGUCCGAGCGUCAUUGCUGCCCUCAAGCACGGCUUGUGUGUUGGGCCUCCGCCCUCCUCCCGGGGGACGGGCCCGAAAGGCAGCGGCGGCACCGCGUCCGGUCCUCGAGCGUAUGGGGCUUCGUCACCCGCUCUUGUAGGCCCGGCCGGCGCUUGCCGACACAUCAAUCUUUUUUCCAGGUUGACCUCGGAUCAGGUAGGGAUACCCGCUGAACUUAAGCAUAUCAAUAAGCGGAGGA
RNAcentral lists this unclassified non-coding RNA (345 nucleotides) under soil metagenome. RNAcentral's name for it is "partial contains 5.8S ribosomal RNA, internal transcribed spacer 2, and large subunit ribosomal RNA". The stretch from base 1 to 120 matches the Rfam family "5.8S ribosomal RNA", at positions 35 to 154 of the family's 154-position model. The record is from RNAcentral.